ACGAGUUCAAUUUCUGGUUAAGAAUAAUUGCGUAAUCGCUAUCAAACUUGGGUUUACCUAAUAACUUAUCUGUAGAUAUUUAGUUACGCAAUAUCCAUCAUAAUAAUUGAUGGACAUUCUUGCAAAUUAAACCUGUAAAAUUUCCCUUCAUACAUAAAUUCCAUACCUCUUUUUAUUUAGUUCGAUCCUUAUAUUUGCCCCUGGGCAAAACUUAAUUAAGCAAAACAAAAGACCGUCUUUGUCCACACCCAUGAAAUUUAAUAGAAACAGAGAUCCCUUUUUUCAUACAGCUAAAAUUUUGGCGUCCAAUUUCCCAUGAGAAAAGAAAUGGCAAGGUUUCCCCUGACACACGUGUAAAUAUUUAUAAAGCUCUCCUAAAAUCUCGCAUGUUUAUAAACAUUCCCACUUUUCCUAGCUACAAUUAUCCGCGUAGUAUUUUUGUUGGCGAAUUUAAUAAAAAUCCUGACAUCCAUACCACAUUUAGUAUGUCCUCGUAAAUAAUUACGUACUAAGAAACAGCGAUAAAAAAUCAGGUCAAGUUUAAUUUUCUAUAACAAUAUGUACCAAAUGUGUCCCUCCACACAUAAUUACCUUCUCAUUGAAUCCUAGAAAUUCCACGUGUUAGACCAGCCUAGUACGGAGAUGUGGGCCAGGGUCAGGCAAUACUGGGAAGGAGGCGGAUGUCCAGCCAGAGAUACAAAAGUCUCAACUUCCUGCCUCUGCUCGGCAGUCUUGGUCCAGCUUAUCCCACAUCCGCCCCACAAUUCCUUACUCUUCAGCUGGAAAUUACCUAAAAAUUUGGCCAAACGAUGUCCCGUGUACGGAACAAAUUCGGCCUGGACCUAGUCCUGAUCUUAUUUCUCCUCUGGACCACAAAUAAUGCGGAUCUUACGUAUCGGCGCCGCUUCAAUUUGAAACACUUGACAACCGCAAAGUGCCUCGUGGGACACCGUGGCGCCACUUUUAUAGACUUCUGCGACACUACAGGUGAUAUUUGACCAUAAUUUUGAAUGUAAUCAAUUCUGAAACACCAAAAAAACCAAAGAUUACUUAUGCAGAAUUUAAAUAUUCGCUGUUAAUCAAUUAAAUUAAAUAUAUUUUUGUACAAAUUUUGCAACACAAGACCUGAUAAGGGGUAUUUAGCCCGUAAAUACUAAUCCAGUUAGAUUUGACCCGAAAUUAAAUAACCAACUCUCCAAUUCCCAUUACCCGGGAAAGAUCCUCUCAUUUAAAUUUAACUAUCCCGCCAAACUUCUUUCCGCCGUUAUUCAAAUUACCCUCCUUUUAAAAAGAAGGUUGCUACCCUGACCACUAAAAUCAUUAACAAUUCCCUCACCACUAUUAAAAUAUUUAAUUUUUCACAAUUAAAUCUAAUUAACGCUCCUCUCCCCCAGACAAAUUUCAAGAAUGGGUCACCCUCGGCCCCCAAUGGGGUGGGACGAUCCGCCCCUUCCUCAGCCAAGAAAUGUGUCUCGCAUCACCCCCCGAAGGCUCAGGAUUCUACACUCAUCUCCAAAACUGCUCCCAAAAACAAUGCCUCUCCAGCUUCAAGUGGACCAUCACCCUCGACCCGCGCCCCUCCCCGGCCCCCAGUCUCAGCAAGGUCGUCGUCUGGAACAACGACCUUGAGCGCUGCCUCCAACCCAGCGGCGGGUAUGGCGACCGCGUCAAAACGGGGCCUUGUCCGAAACACGACGGCUGGGUGCGGAUCGACCGUGGCACGAGUGACUCCUUCUUCUGGGAAGUCGCCCUUAUCAAGGAGACCGUCUAAUUUGGUCACAACCAGAAAUUAAUUAGGAUCCUAAUUUAGAACUAAUGAUUAAAUACUUACCUCAAAUAAUUAAGGUACAUUAUAAUUCCGCAAUUUCAAUAAUUAAAAGUAUUCUACCUCAAACUCUAAAUAUUUCUAGGGAAGCAUAGACAAUGAUUUUCAAUACUAAAUAUUUACAACAUAAAUA
Folsomia candida is the source of this 1958-nucleotide RNA transcript. RefSeq lists it as uncharacterized. The record is from RefSeq and is a predicted model, not a curated record. NCBI's taxonomy places the organism in Eukaryota, Metazoa, Arthropoda, Collembola, Entomobryomorpha, Isotomidae. The transcript has 2 exons.